This is a long non-coding RNA of Electrophorus electricus (electric eel), 625 nucleotides long. The record is from Ensembl. Lineage: Eukaryota; Metazoa; Chordata; Actinopteri; Gymnotiformes; Gymnotidae.
GAGGGAACACGUGGCAUUAAGAGGAAAAAAACUUGCCACAUGACUUUACAAAGCAGGAAGUACUGCUGAGCAGCGUCAGAAACCACAUAUCUGUCAUAAAUUUCAUUCCCACUGGUUCUUGUCCAGUAUUUGCCCGAUUAACUGGAAAACAUAUUAACAAGAUGUUUUGCAGAGUUUUCUUCGUGAUACUUGUACUAGGUGUUUUGGGAUCCACUGCCCAAGCUCUAGAUGGAGAAUGUUCAACUGUCAAGUCCUGUGACGUAUGUUUAAAUAGAACUGACUGCACUUGGGGGCAAUGCGCAGGUAUUCCUGCAGUUGUUUGUUAUAAUGACAGUUUACAUACGGAAAAGAACUGCACCCACAUGUCCUGUGAAGGUAAGCCCCCUCUUGUUAUCCAGCAUGUUUGGUAAACAGCAACCACUGCAGGCUAGGCUGUGUGUACCAGCGUUCAGACUGUGACCUGUAGCUGAACACUUCACCAGUGAACUGAGCUGACCGUUUCUUUCUAGGCACAACGUCUAUUCCAGCAUCAACGGCAAACACCACCGUCUUUACUUCUACAGGUAUUAGACUUUGAUGAGCAAUACUGUUUUGAUGAGCAAUACGGUUUGAUGAGAGUAAUGUG